GUAUAUACUUUACCUCCACU
RNAcentral lists this microRNA (20 nucleotides) under Monodelphis domestica (gray short-tailed opossum). Its description in RNAcentral is "mdo-miR-12383-3p". The record is from miRBase by way of RNAcentral. Lineage: Eukaryota; Metazoa; Chordata; Mammalia; Didelphimorphia; Didelphidae.